RNAcentral lists this long non-coding RNA (398 nucleotides) under Gossypium barbadense (sea-island cotton). Its description in RNAcentral is "long non-coding RNA (GBAR_LNC015398)". Lineage: Eukaryota; Viridiplantae; Streptophyta; Magnoliopsida; Malvales; Malvaceae. The record is from RNAcentral.
UGCAGGGAGAUCUGGUCGCUUAGGGUGGUAGUCGUUUAUUUCUGAUACAAAGAGCUGCUACUACUGGCUAUGCGACUAGGUGGUGGCAAGGGAGUGGAGCGGAUGGAUGCUGCAAUUGGUUUUAUGGUGCUUGUGGAUGGUGGAAAAAGAGUUGUUGUUCGGUGAUGGUGUCACAAUAUGGUGGUGUGCAACGGUGACGGGGUAAGGGAGAAAGGUGCGGCAAUUUGGCUGUCAUGGGUGGUGUAGCAGGCUGCUGAUGAAGGUGACAAUUGAUCGUGGAGGGAAAGGCGAGGGCGUGGGAUGGGGAAGGCUAGGCGGUGACGCUUGAAGGUGGAGAGAAUGAGACAGGAUCGACGGUAAGUUGGAAUGGAAAAGUCAAGGCCGCGACGGUUGGGAAG